UACAUGCAAAGUCGAAGCGAGCGGAAACUAAACAGAUUUACUUCGGUAAUGACGUUAGGAAAGCGAGCGGCGGAUGGGUGAGUAACACGUGGGGAAUCUGCCCCAUAGUCUGGGAUACCACUUGGAAACAGGUGCUAAUACGGGAUAAGAAAAGCAGAUCGCAUGAUCAGCUUUUAAAAGGCGGCGUAAGCUGUCGCUAUGGGAUGGCCCCGCGGUGCAUUAGCUAGUUGGUAAGGUAAAGGCUUACCAAGGCGAUGAUGCAUAGCCGAGUUGAGAGACUGAUCGGCCACAUUGGGACUGAGACACGGCCCAAACUCCUACGGGAGGCAGCAGUAGGGAAUCUUCCACAAUGGACGCAAGUCUGAUGGAGCAAUGCCGCGUGAGUGAAGAAGGUUUUCGGAUCGUAAAGCUCUGUUGUUGGUGAAGAAGGAUAGAGGUAGUAACUGGCCUUUAUUUGACAGUAAUCAACCAGAAAGUCACGGCUAACUACGUGCCAGCAGCCGCGGUAAAU
RNAcentral lists this ribosomal RNA (511 nucleotides) under uncultured Lactobacillus sp. RNAcentral describes it as "bacterial SSU rRNA". It matches the Rfam family "Bacterial small subunit ribosomal RNA", at positions 52 to 525 of the family's 1533-position model. The record is from RNAcentral. Lineage: Bacteria; Bacillati; Bacillota; Bacilli; Lactobacillales; Lactobacillaceae.